GGGGAACCGGCGGGGCUGCCUGCGCCCUGCCCGGGCGGCGGGCGGCGGGCGGCGGCCGGACUACGCCUCCCACAAUGCUCCAGCGCCGCGGCCCCGCGGUGCAUCGUGGGAGAUGUAGUCCCGCCGCGGCCGCCGCCGCCGCCGCCGGUUGCGUGCCGGCACGCGCGGGAGCCGGCCUCGCCGUGCGGGGAGCGCGACGGGGGCGAGGGUCGCGCUCAGUCGUGCUGGGCGGGGUGCGGCCGCCCGCGCCGAGCUGCUGCUGUGACGGGUUUGGGGCCAAGCCACCCCUCCUCUGGUGGCUUAUAAGAAGAAAUGGGGGAGAAAGCAAAGCAAGGCCACCAUGGCAGGACGCUACAGCCCAGCCCAGGUGGACGCCCCGAUGUCAGAGCUGACGUACAAGAACAUAGAGCAGUACGAGCCAGUUGAUGCGGGUCCCCAGGAUGCCCCUGAGCUGGGCAAGGAGCAGCUGGACAUGGAUACCCCCCCGAAUCUUCCACAGCGCAGAUGGGGAGCAGAGCCACAGGGAACAGCAAGGCAGCCAGCCCAUGAAGACAGCCCCCAAGGUGAGCAGCUCGCUGACCAACCCUGACAACGUCCAAUACUCCACUGUCAAGAUCCAACCAGCCCCGCAGAGCCGCGCACCUGCCUUAGGCCUUACCUGCGACUGUGCCAACAUCAAGCACUACGCGUCAGCCGUGGGCAACCCCAUCACCCGUAGCCUGGCACCAGUCUCAGGAGUGGGGACUGGGGGUCACAGCCUGGGAUCAGUGAUGGGAGAGAAGAUCAGUGGAGCUUUAUGGGUGGAAGGGGCUAUGUUGGCUGGAAAUAGGCUCAGGUGAGGGAGAUUCCCUGCUCUCCAUCAUUGCUGACCUCGUGAAGGAACACCUUAAGAGGCUGGACACCUUCAAGUCAGCUGGCCCUGAUAGCCUACACCCCAGGGUACACAAGCAGCUGGCGUGCAUCAUAGCCCAGUCCCUGGCACAGAUCUUUGAGAACUCCUGGCACUCUGGUGAAGUGCCCGAAGAUUGGAAGAAGGUCAGUGUGGUGCCUAUCUUCACGAAAGGGAGGAAAGUGGAUCUGGCAAACUACAGGCUCAGCAGCUUGACCUCUAUCCUGAGGAAGGUCUUAGAAACGAUUAUUAAAGAGGCCAUUCUUAACUGACUGGCCGUCGGCAAUGUGGCAGAAGGCCACCUCUUGUUUCUCCCCAAAAACUCUGCUCUGUGACAGUUUGUUAACAUGGGCCCUGCAGAGGGUACACACCUUACCCUAUGUAACCUAAGCUGGAUACAUUCCUGACGGAGGGGGGAACCUGCUCCCUCUGCCCACGUGACUGGCAUCACAUACCUAGGUGAGGGGCUUGGGUUCCCUGGGGAGCUAGGAACUGCCAGUCUGCCCAGAAACUAGUGAUGCAUUUCAAAUUGGUUGGCUGACAGCCAACAGGUGUUGGCCUCCAUUGGACCAGGUAAAUGAGGUCAUAAGCGCUAUAUAAGUUAAGGACUGCCCAGGAGGAGGAGGGGGCAGCAGCCAUGAGGAAGACUCAGAGACAGAGAAGAGCUGGACCACCUGAAACUUGCUCUCUCUCUCUCUCAAAACUCAUGAUCAAGGAACUGCCUGCCUCCAGGGGGAAUCUCCACCUGCCUCUGCAUGAUCCUUGUGACCUAUCACCUGGACAAGGGAGAAGAGAUUGAUGUCAUAUAUCUUGACUUCAAAAAGCCUUCGAUCUGGUAUCCCAUGAUCACCUCUUGGCGAAACUGGCCAACUGCGGCUUUGGGUCCACCACGAUCCGCUGGCUGGGGAAUUGGCUCCAUGGUUGGACCCAGAGGGUGGGGAGUGAUGGAAGUCAAUCAUCGUGGUGCCCUGUGACCAGUGGGGCUCCCCAAGGCUCUGUCCGUCCCCUGUAGCAGAAAGCCCCCUUUUCCUCUCACCUGUAGUUGCUCUCCCUUCUUUGGAUAUCUUUCUCUUCUACCUUUUCUUCCUUCCUCUUUCUUUCAGUAUAAGAUAAGGAAUUGUGUUUUAAAGUUUGUAUGUGUGUAUUUUGUAUCUCCCCUUGUAUUUUGAUAUUUUUAUCUAUUUGUGUGCCAUGCCAUUGCUCUUGUAGCUUAUAUUUUAUACUCCUCACCUUUUAACUAAAUGUGUUUAGUUUCAGAAAUAAGUUAUACAUUGUAACAAUGUUAACAAGGGCAGGAAUCAAACUGCGGUUUCCCUGUAUCAGGCGGGCCCCUGAAAGAGCGAGUGAAUCAGUGAUUGAAUGUGUAACACUGUAGCAGGCGGAAAUUAAAACCUAGGAAAACCGCAGAUCAAUCAAGGGAAGAACUCAAUAGGAGACAAUGUAACAGCCGGGAAUUCUCUAAACUUUACUGUUCAAGGGCUAGAAACCCUGGUCUGAGAUAAUCAACACCGGGGACCAACUUUUGGGGCUGAAUAUCUCCAGAUCGACUGCUCCCAGAGCCCUAUUCAAAAUUCAUCAACGGACUCCCAAACCUGCAUGUACAUGCGGACGACCCCUGGGGCUGACAGAUGCCAUCCAGUAGCCACCGAGGGGGAAGUCCCACGAGGGUCAAUGACCCCUGGAUUGGGCAAACCUGAAAACUGGGGAGUCACCAAAGUCUGGCAAGGACAGAUAAAAAGCAGUGCAAAGUGACCCUCAGCAGCGCCCUCUUGAUCUCCAACUUGACCAGCACCCGACCUGUCCAGCCAGAAGGACCAGCCGGCGACCCCCUUCUGGAGGAUAACACCACGCUGGAAGAAGCCUCAACUGGCCAUCGACGGUAGACUCCAGCGCCUAUGAGAUAGCUGGAACCCUGUUCACUUCAGCUGCCCCUGCCCUGAUGGCCUCCUGGCACUGGAACUACGUGGCCAUGGUCCUGCUGACCCCCCUCGGCCUGCUGGGAGGUGCUGACCUUAAGGACUGGGUUGUGGCCCUCCCAAAAGACCCCAUGGAUGUGCAGGAGGGCUCCUGCGUGACCCUCGAGUGCAGCUACAACAUCCCUCUGGGGAAGGACAUUGGAGCUGUGUGCUGGAAGCAGAAUAGAGUCAUUAUUGCUUAUCACUCAGACAAGGCUUAUGUUGAUGCGGCCUUCAAAAACCGGACCUGGUCCUUCAGCAAACACCCGGGCAACUGCUCUCUGCAGCUCAUGGGGCUGCGCCUAGGGGAUCAGGGUACCUACCAGGUCUGCACUGGGAAAGGGAAUGAAGAGUGGUGCAGCCCUGGGGCCGUGCAGCUCCGUGUGACUGCCCACCCAUGCCGUCCUAGCCUGAAGACACCACGGGGACAGGGGUCCCUCUCCUGCUCCGUGCAGCCUGACUGCCAGGGAUCCCCUGUCUGGGACAAACGGGAUGACCAGAGGAUCCCGGCUGGGAUGGGGAACAGCUCGCUGCAGGUGUCCCCAUCCCAGCUGGGUCCUAACAUGAUGCUGAGCUGCCGGGUGGAUGGACACAGAGACCAGUGCAGCCCUGAACAGAACCAGCCCCUACAACUAGGGAAUCUGCACUUGAAGAUCUUUCUCCCGGGGGCAAAGCAAGUGGUGAAGGAACAUGACUAUGUCACCAUGCGCUGCUUGGAUGCCACCCGGAUCCCCGUGGCCAGGUACUUCUGGACGCAUGGGGACAAGUGGCUGCAGGAAAGAGGGCAGAAUUUGCACAUCAGCGACACCAGCACUGCUCAUGGAGGUGUCUACACUUGCAGCAUCUGGGUCUCCGGCCCCGGGUGGGCGUUCCUGGUCUCCUCUGGCAACAAAUCCAUCACGGUUCAUUAUGCCCCUAAGGGGGUUAACAUCACGCCUCCGUCCCCAUCCAAGCUGAGUGAAGGGGAGUAUCUGAUCUUAACCUGCCAUUUCAACAGCAGCCUCCCCGAGGUGGUCACCUACAACUGGUACAAGGACAGCAUGGAGUGGAAGGGGUCCCAGAAGAUACUGAAGGUUGGAGCAAAGGAUGCUGGGAUAUAUCACUGUGUGGUGCAGAACGAGGUGGGGCCCACAGAGUCUUCCAGAAUCACCAUUCGGGCCUCCUCCCAAGGGCUGGUUUCCGCUUUGGCCGCCGGCAUCAGCGGUGCCGUGUUCCUGCUGCUUCUGCUGGGGCUGGGGCUGGCUCUGGCCUGCAGGAAGAAAUGGGGGAGAAAGCAAAGCAAGGCCACCAUGGCAGGACGCUACAGCCCAGCCCAGGUGGACGCCCCGAUGUCAGAGCUGACGUACAAGAACAUAGAGCAGUACGAGCCAGUUGAUGCGGGUCCCCAGGAUGCCCCUGAGCUGGGCAAGGAGCAGCUGGACAUGGAUACCCCCCCGAAUCUUCCACAGCGCAGAUGGGGAGCAGAGCCACAGGGAACAGCAAGGCAGCCACCAUCUACAGCCAGCCCAUGAAGACAGCCCCCAAGACCAACCCUGACAACGUCCAAUACUCCACUGUCAAGAUCCAACCAGCCCCGCAGAGCCGCGCACCUGCCUUAGGCCUUACCUGCGACUGUGCCAACAUCAAGCACUACGCGUCAGCCGUGGGCAACCCCAUCACCCGUAGCCUGGCACCAGUCUCAGGAGUGGGGACUGGGGGUCACGGCCUGGGAUCAGUGAUGGGAGAGAAGAUCAGUGGAGCUUUAUGGGUGGAAGGGGCUAUGUUGGCUGGAAAUAGGCCCAGGUGAGGGAGAUUCCCUGCUCUCCAUCAUUGCUGACCUCGUGAAGGAACACCUUAAGAGGCUGGACACCUUCAAGUCAGCUGGCCCUGAUAGCCUACACCCCAGGGUACACAAGCAGCUGGCGCGCAUCAUAGCCCAGUCCCUGGCACAGAUCUUUGAGAACUUCUGGCACUCUGGUGAAGUGCCCGAAGAUUGGAAGAAGGUCAGUGUGGUGCCUAUCUUCACGAAAGGGAGGAAAGUGGAUCUGGCAAACUACAGGCUCAGCAGCUUGACCUCUAUCCUGAGGAAGGUCUUAGAAACGAUUAUUAAAGAGGCCAUUCUUAACUGACUGGCCGUCGGCAAUGUGGCAGAAGGCCACCUCUUGUUUCUCCCCAAAAACUCUGCUCUGUGACAGUUUGUUAACAUGGGCCCUGCAGAGGGUACACACCUUACCCUAUGUAACCUAAGCUGGAUACAUUCCUGACGGAGGGGGGAACCUGCUCCCUCUGCCCACGUGACUGGCAUCACAUACCUAGGUGAGGGGCUUGGGUUCCCUGGGGAGCUAGGAACUGCCAGUCUGCCCAGAAACUAGUGAUGCAUUUCAAAUUGGUUGGCUGACAGCCAACAGGUGUUGGCCUCCAUUGGACCAGGUAAAUGAGGUCACAAGGGCUAUAUAAGUUAAGGACUGCCCAGGAGGAGGAGGGGGCAGCAGCCAUGAGGAAGACUCAGAGACAGAGAAGAGCUGGACCACCUGAAACUUGCUCUCUCUCUCUCUCUCUCUCUCUCUCUCAAAACUCAUGAUCAAGGAACUGCCUGCCUCCAGGGGGAAUCUCCACCUGCCUCUGCAUGAUCCUUGUGACCUAUCACCUGGACAAGGGAGAAGAGAUUGAUGUCAUAUAUCUUGACUUCAAAAAGCCUUCGAUCUGGUAUCCCAUGAUCACCUCUUGGCGAAACUGGCCAACUGCGGCUUUGGGUCCACCACGAUCCGCUGGCUGGGGAAUUGGCUCCAUGGUUGGACCCAGAGGGUGGGGAGUGAUUGAAGUCAAUCAUCGUGGUGCCCUGUGACCAGUGGGGCUCCCCAAGGCUCUGUCCGUCCCCUGUAGCAGAAAGCCCCCUUUUCCUCUCACCUGUAGUUGCUCUCCCUUCUUUGGAUAUCUUUCUCUUCUACCUUUUCUUCCUUCCUCUUUCUUUCAGUAUAAGAUAAGGAAUUGUGUUUUAAAGUUUGUAUGUGUGUAUUUUGUAUCUCCCCUUGUAUUUUGAUAUUUUUAUCUAUUUGUGUGCCAUGCCAUUGCUCUUGUAGCUUAUAUUUUAUACUCCUCACCUUUUAACUAAAUGUGUUUAGUUUCAGAAAUAAGUUAUACAUUGUAACAAUGUUAACAAGAGCAGGAAUCAAACUGCGGUUUCCCUGUAUCAGGCGGGCCCCUGAAAGAGCGAGUGAAUCAGUGAUUGAAUGUGUAACACUGUAGCAGGCGGAAAUUAAAACCUAGGAAAACCGCAGAUCAAUCAAGGGAAGAAAUCAAUAGGAGACAAUGUAACAGCCGGGAAUUCUCUAAACUUUACUGUUCAAGGGCUAGAAACCCUGGUCUGAGUUAAUCAACGCCGGGGACCAACUUUUGGGGCUGAAUAUCUCCAGAUCGACUGCUCCCAGAGCCCUAUUCAAAAUUCAUCAACGGACUCCCAAACCUGCACGUACAUGCGGACGACCCCUGGGGCUGACAGAUGCCAUCCAGUAGCCACCGAGGGGGAAGUCCCACGAGGGUCAAUGACCCCUGGAUUGGGCAAACCUGAAAACUGGGGAGUCACCAAAGUCUGGCAAGGACAGAUAAAAAGCAGUGCAAAGUGACCCUCAGCAGCGCCCUCUUGAUCUCCAACUUGACCAGCACCCGACCUGUCCAGCCAGAAGGACCAGCCAGCGACCCCCUUCUGGAGGAUAACACCACGCUGGAAGAAGCCUCAACUGGCCAUCGACGGUAGACUCCAGCGCCUAUGAGAUAGGUAUACCCGACUCUUGUAACUCGCUACUGCGUGUGUGCGUGUGUGUGUGUGUGUGUGUGUGUGUGUGUGUGGGGACCAGCCCCAAGGCUUAUGAUUUGACUUCAUUACAGUGUUUCAAUCUGCCUAAUAAACCAGAAUUUUAAGGACUCCCAGUUGGACAUUUGCAGCCAACAGACCUAUAUUGUUCGACAUCUUAAUGAUGUGGACAUUGGAGUCCGAAGUGGACUGGCCAAGUUUGCUGAUGAUACCAAACUCUGGGGUAAAGCAUCCGCACCUGAGGAAGGAGGGUGAUCCAGGCUGACCUCGACAGGCUCAAGAAAUGGGCGGACGAGAACCUGAUGGUGUUUAACACUGAAAAAAUGCAAGGUUCUCCACCUUGGGAGGAAAAACCUGCAGCAUCCUUAUAGGCUCGGCAGUGCUAUGCUGGCUAGCGCUACAGAUGAAAGGGACUUGGGGCUCACAAGAUGAACAUGAGCCUUCAAUGUGAUGCUGCGGCUAGUUAAAUGACGAAAAUGCUGGCUUGCAUCCAUAGAUGCUUCUCAAGCAAAUCCUGGGAUGUCAUUCUCCCAUUGUACUCGGCCUUGGUGAGGCUGCAGCUGGAGUACUGCGUCCAGUUUUGGGCUUCACAAUUCAAAAAGGAUGUGGAGAAGCUUGAAAGAGUCCAGAGGAGAGCCACGCGCAUGAUCAGAGGUCAGGAAAACUGAUCUUAUGAUUACAGGCUGAGAGCCAUGGGGCUUUUUAGCCUGGAAAAGUGCAGGCUCAGGGGCGAUCUGAUGGCCACCUAUAAGUUUAUCAGGGGUGCGCGCCAGGAUCUGGGGGAACAAUUGUUCACCAGAGUGCCCCAAGGGAUGACAAGGUUGAAUGGUUAUAAACUACUGCAAGACCGUUUCAGGCUGGACAUAAGGAAGAAUUUCUUUACUGUCCGAGCCCCCAAGGUCUGAAAUAGCCUGCCAUUGGAGGUGGUACAAACACCUACAUUGAACACCUUCAAGAGAAAUUUGGAUGCCUAUUUUGCUGGGAUCCUAUGACCCCAGCUGACUUCCUGCCCCUGGGGCAGGGAGCUGGACUCAAUGAUCUUCUGAGGUCCCUUCCAGCCCUAAUGUCUAUGAAAUUUUCUCCCCAUUUUCUGAGUCCCAUGGUCCCUAGGGCAUUGAAUCAUGCUAAUUAGGCUCUGUUAUGAAUUGAUUGCCUUAGACCUGGCUUCUCAGGACAGCUAAGUACAAUGUAAACCUCUUUUAACAAGGUGUGGAUAAUGGUGUGCAAUGUAAGAAGCUUUAACAAGGCCUGAGUGGCAGUCUGGAGUAGUGCAAGUUAUUAAUGAGGUUUGGACAGCUAUGCAGUUUUGAAUGAGGUAUGGACUGAAUGUUGGCACAAAAUGUAAUAAGCUUUAAUGAGGCAUGGAAGGUGGGACAAAAUACUUGUGUGCUUUUAAGGAGAUGUGCCUAAACAGAAGCAAGUGUUUUUUAAUGAGGUGGGGGUGGUCACACAGACUGUAACAAGCUUUAACAAGGCAGGGAUGGUGGGGCCAAAUGUUGUAAUGCUUUUAAGAAAGUGUGGGCUAUUGAUCAUUAACUAGAUAUAAUGUGCUAUGUAAUAAGCCUUACCAAGGCUUGGGGAGCAGAACAUAAUGUAACAAGCCUUAAUGAGGUGUGGACAGCUAUUUCCCCACCCUUUGUUUGAAAUUUCCAAAUGGAAAUCCAUGGCGUUUCCUAUUUGCAUAAUUGACCUACCUACCCAUCUUCCCUACAGGCCUCUUCAGUGGCUGAGAUUUUAGGCAUUGUAAUAAUAAUGAGUAAUGUGUAUUUUACCCUAACUUGUAUCUGCCUUGGGUGGGCAUCUUUCUGGGGUGAUUUUAGAGCAGAGGUUUAGAACAGGGGGAACAGAUGCCCCUUUCCAAGCCCACUGUUGUUCUUCCCCGUGUGAUUCCUUUUUGCUUUCAACUAAAGCCCCAUCCUAUGCAGAAAGAGAGAGAAGAAAGAGAAGGAGAAAUCAGUGUCUUUGCUGCCUGACACUAUGGAUGAUUUGUGUGGUGGAUAACACAGAGGAUGCCUGAGCACUGUCAGAAGAGAAACAAGUUCUGGGUCAUAACCAUGGGCUCAGGGCAUGAAGGCUAGAGACAAGGCAAUGCCUGCAGCCCCAGUCUCCAGCUAGUUUGAGCAGAUGUUUUUCAGGCAACCCCUCUAGAACAGAGCUGGCAGAUUCUUCUGCCCCCCAGGACACACAUGGACCGUGGGGCUCCUUGUGGGCUGGAUACGCACCUGGGAACACAGCCGUCUGGGGACAAACACAGGCACAUAUCAUCUGUGGGGCUCUACCCUAGAUUUUAGUGGCACGCGUCACCCCCACUCACCCCAGCUUCUCUAGGAGCCCUGGCGGGUGGGUACAAGUGUAUCCAUGGGCUGUAUGUUUGACACCCCUACUCUAGGACUUUGUGUGUAGCACGUACUCACAGGAUGGGUGGAUCAAUGAACCGGUCGCUAUCCAAGGCUGCAGGUAGAAAUACCUUGAAGCAGACGACAGAGAGAAGGGGUUGAUUGGUAAAAUAUCAUUUCUUUCCUUCAGAGUACAAAAUCGGCUGGAUGAAAGGCAUUAUAUGCUCGGGCAUCUCACCAAACACUGGCCUGUGCCGAGACUGAUGUGAGCCUGGGAUUAAAACCGUUCUCCUGA
Molecule: RNA transcript, 9265 nt
Organism: Alligator mississippiensis (American alligator)
Lineage: Eukaryota; Metazoa; Chordata; Crocodylia; Alligatoridae
Gene name: B-cell receptor CD22-like
Exons: 17
Source: RefSeq, a predicted model, not a curated record